AUUGAACGCUGGCGGCAGGCCUAACACAUGCAAGUUGAGCGGUUGAGGUAGCUUGCUACCGAUGCAGCGGCGGACGGGUGAGUAAUACAUGGGAAUCUGCCUGGUAGUGGGGGACAACGUUUCGAAAGGAACGCUAAUACCGCAUACGCCCUACGGGGAAAGGGGGGGAGUCUUCGGACCUCUCGCUAUCAGAUGAGCCC
Molecule: ribosomal RNA, 200 nt
Filed under: uncultured bacterium
Lineage: Bacteria
Description: partial 16S ribosomal RNA
Rfam family: Bacterial small subunit ribosomal RNA
Source: RNAcentral